This 672-nucleotide long non-coding RNA is filed under the name Gallus gallus (chicken). RNAcentral's name for it is "long non-coding RNA NONGGAT003589". The record is from RNAcentral. Lineage: Eukaryota; Metazoa; Chordata; Aves; Galliformes; Phasianidae.
CUGAAGACUGUUGACUAGCUUUAGGCAACUCUUCUCCUUGAGCAGGUCUCUACUAAAAAAGGAUCUUGGUUGCUUUAACCCAUGGUUCUCAGCUACUUCUUCCAGUUGUUCUGAUGAAGUACAGACUUCUUAGGAGUCAGCCAACCACAGUUCUCACAACCCUGUCAGCAUCGAAUCUGAUACCAACUUUUAUUCCCAUUUCACAGAUUAUGAAAUGUAAAAUUCUCUUUUGAUCUUGAUCCCUGCCCACUACACUUUCCAUCUCUCAACUUGUAUGGGAACCAUUGAAUCACGGCCUGAACCACUGAUUGAUCACCUGAGGCAAGCACUGAGUCAGCCAUAGGAGCACAGGUGAAGGCAGUUCACCUGUGUGACUGGAAGGGGUGGAGCCUGGCUCCACCUCUCCUACACCCCAUUUAAGGGCUGACUGCCACUGGGGAAGGUUUGCUUUCUGGAAAUUGAUCCUUUUGGAGUUUUUUUUCUGGGAGUCUAGCACACAGUGAUAUCCAGCACAGAGGCAGAGCCUAAGCAGUCCAGGAGCAGUUCUGCAUCCAUAACGCCUAAGGAUGUGACACCAUAGUCUGCAGGAUGUUUCUUCUGUUACAAGCUCCUUAAAGAAACCUGAGAGGAAGGAAUACAUUGUUUACUUCGGCAUCGGCAUGCAAGUAACCC